This 505-nucleotide ribosomal RNA is filed under the name uncultured bacterium. RNAcentral's name for it is "partial 16S ribosomal RNA". It matches the Rfam family "Bacterial small subunit ribosomal RNA", at positions 28 to 507 of the family's 1533-position model. The record is from RNAcentral.
GACGAACGCUGGCGGCGUGCCUAAUACAUGCAAGUAGAACGCACAGUUUAUACCGUAGCUUGCUACACCAUAGACUGUGAGUUGCGAACGGGUGAGUAACGCGUAGGUAACCUGCCUGGUAGCGGGGGAUAACUAUUGGAAACGAUAGCUAAUACCGCAUAAUAUUAAUUAUUGCAUGAUAGUUAAUUGAAAGGUGCAAUUGCACCACUACCAGAUGGACCUGCGUUGUAUUAGCUAGUAGGUGAGGUAACGGCUCACCUAGGCGACGAUACAUAGCCGACCUGAGAGGGUGAUCGGCCACACUGGGACUGAGACACGGCCCAGACUCCUACGGGAGGCAGCAGUAGGGAAUCUUCGGCAAUGGACGAAAGUCUGACCGAGCAACGCCGCGUGAGUGAAGAAGGUUUUCGGAUCGUAAAGCUCUGUUGUAAGAGAAGAACGGGUGUGAGAGUGGAAAGUUCACACUGUGACGGUAUCUUACCAGAAAGGGACGGCUAACUACGUG